Molecule: long non-coding RNA, 804 nt
Organism: Arachis duranensis
Lineage: Eukaryota; Viridiplantae; Streptophyta; Magnoliopsida; Fabales; Fabaceae
Exons: 2
Source: RefSeq, a predicted model, not a curated record
UUAUCUCCUCUUCCUAUCCUCUCUCUCUCUCUCUAUACUUCUCGAUCUCUCUCAUCAGUCUCUGCGUCGCACGCAAACGGCUAAACGCGAACCUAUCCCUCCCAUCACCCUUGAACUCAUCCUUCCUCUCUCCGUUAUCCAUCUCACUCGCUCACCUCCGUCCAUCGCCCGCCGCCGUCGCCGAAACGAGCUUCGAAGCCACCGUCGUUAUCGUGCAGCUCUGUUCCACCAUCGUGCAGCUACUGUUUCAGCUUUGAAAGCACCGUCGCGCAAUUCGGUUCCAUCGUCGCCGGGCUUGCCUCCUUUUUCCGUCGAGCAGCUCUGUUCCAUCGUCGCCGGCACUAUCUCUGUUCCACCUGUCAUCCCUUCGGUCGUGCCCUUGUCCCCUUCUUGCUCAGGAUCUGCUCUGCUCUGUUCUAGGGCUUCUAGCUUCUAGGCUGUGUUUGAUGAGGAUGAGGAAGAUAAAUACAAGGAAAGGAAUCCGGGAAAUAGUUUGAAGAGAAAAGAGAGUGGCGGUGGAGGAAGAGGUUUGUGAUCCCUGUUUCAUACUUGAACCAACCUUUAAUCCAAGACUUGUUGAGCCAAGCUGAGGAAGAGUUUGGAUAUGAUCAUCCUAUGGGAGGUCUAACAAUUUCAUGCAGUGAAGAUGUCUUCCAACAAAUCACCUCUCACUUGAAUUGAUGAUGAAUCGCAUGCUGCAGGAGACUGACAUAGAUUAGUACACACAUUUUGUACAAUAGGUUACUUGUAAAGAUUACACAUUUUUUAAAGUAAAUGAAAGAAUAAUGACCAUUACUAUCACAA